Molecule: transfer RNA, 73 nt
Organism: Simkania negevensis Z
Lineage: Bacteria; Pseudomonadati; Chlamydiota; Chlamydiia; Parachlamydiales; Simkaniaceae
Rfam family: tRNA
About the family: Transfer RNA (tRNA) molecules are approximately 80 nucleotides in length.
Source: Rfam
GGCGGCAUAGCUCAGUUGGUAGAGCAGCGGAAUCAUAAUCCGUUGGUCCUUGGUUCGAGUCCGAGUGCCGCUA